This 253-nucleotide ribosomal RNA is filed under the name uncultured bacterium. RNAcentral's name for it is "partial 16S ribosomal RNA". It matches the Rfam family "Bacterial small subunit ribosomal RNA", at positions 524 to 776 of the family's 1533-position model. The record is from RNAcentral.
UACGGAGGGUGCGAGCGUUUAUCGGAAUUACUGGGCGUAAAGCGCGCGUAGGCGGCUUGUUAAGUCGGAUGUGAAAUCCCCGGGCUCAACCUGGGAAUUGCAUCCGAUACUGGCGAGCUGGAGUGCGAUAGAGGGGGGUAGAAUUCCUGGUGUAGCGGUGAAAUGCGUAGAUAUCAGGAGGAAUACCGGUGGCGAAGGCGGCCCCCUGGAUCGACACUGACGCUGAGGUGCGAAAGCGUGGGUAGCAAACAGG